This is a long non-coding RNA of Populus euphratica (Euphrates poplar), 1156 nucleotides long. RefSeq lists it as uncharacterized. NCBI's taxonomy places the organism in Eukaryota, Viridiplantae, Streptophyta, Magnoliopsida, Malpighiales, Salicaceae. The record is from RefSeq and is a predicted model, not a curated record. The transcript is spliced from 2 exons.
UCCUUUUUGUUUUCCUACAAUGGAAAUUGAUCAUGACUUUUUCUUUUUUCAAAUAAGUUUGCUUUCGUGAAGGAAUUAUUAUUUGCCUUUUGACUAUGGGUAGAAACACUGAAUGAGAUGAGAGAGUACUCGGCUGGUAGUAUUUUCUUAUGCUAGCUUCGUUUCUCAUUGCUUACCCCGUUCCUGUUUUCCUGUAUAUAUUUGUUGUCAAAAUGGUACCGGUAGGAUUUUCCUUUUACUUUUUCUUUUUUAUGUGCUUACUGCAAUGCAAGAGAACAUUCUUGGUUUCCAUUACUAUUUUCCUAGAUAGGUAUGGUGUGUGGUGUGAAACGUUGGGUAUCUGCGGGGCUUUGGGAGAAUACAAGCAAACAUGCUGCCUUGCCAUUCUUGAUUUUAUAUUGAGGGAAUGGAAAUCGGAGAAACCACUCAAAUGAACUGUCUUGGUCCCAAUCUCAUCAUGGGAAAUGAUUUGAAGUUUAUAGGAGAUUGACCAUUGCUGCAGGCUGUUGAAACCCUUCUGUUCCAGCUGUCAGAAAACAGUUCAAAGGACAAGCAAUUGCUUUGCAGUGGUGAAGCGGAGGAAAAGUAAGUUAUAAGGACAAUGAAUGAUGGUGAAUUUGAUGGAGAUGAAUAGAGCAUUCCGCCUCAAGAAAUUGUGGCAAGAGGUUUGAGGCAGUUGGCCUUUCUGUGCUUGAAGGGGCAGGGAGUCCUUGAGAAGGGAGGGAUCUGGGAUAGGUCAGGAAUGCUCUAUGAGAUCAUAAUGGGUUCUGAUUAUUUUGGUUAUUGUUUUAUGUUUAAUCUAGUUUUGGGUUUUUCUUUUAUUCAAUAGAAGGUCCGAUAGGCUGGCAGAUGAAUCCGCACCCCAACCCUCACAGGAUUUGAACCUGAGAUCGAUCUCCUGGUGCAAAUCGAGUUGUUAAGAGUAUCGGUAGAGAAUCAUGGCUUGCUGUGCUUGUAACAAACAUGGGAUCAUCACAGAAGAUAUGGUUUUCAUUUUGGGAAGUGAUCUGGUUUCCUUCAUCAGUUGUUUCCAACCAAGUUUCCAUUUUGGAAGAAAACAUCAAUUGCCUUUUUUAUUUACGGAUAGAAAGAAAACACUUGAAAGAUGAGUGGGAUUGCUAGGAUUUACAUUAAAUUAUGGCAACAGCUUUUGGAA